GAUGAACGCUAGCUACAGGCUUAACACAUGCAAGUUGAGGGGCAGCAUGAAAGGAACUUCGGUUCUUUUUGAUGGCGACCGGCGCACGGGUGCGUAACGCGUAUCGAACCUGCCUCAUACUCGGGGAUAGCCUUGCGAAAGUAAGAUUAAUACCCGGCGGUCUCGGAUGGCCGCAUGACUGUCCGAGUGAAGAUUUAUCGGUAUGAGAUGGCGAUGCGUCCCAUUAGCUUGUUGGUGAGGUAACGGCUCACCAAGGCAUCGAUGGGUAGGGGUUCUGAGAGGAAGGUCCCCCACAUUGGAACUGAGACACGGUCCAAACUCCUACGGGAGGCAGCAGUGAGGAAUAUUGGUCAAUGGGCGAGAGCCUGAACCAGCCAAGUAGCGUGAAGGAUGACGGCCCUACGGGUUGUAAACUUCUUUUGUGCGGGAAUAAAGGAACCUACGCGUAGGUUUUUGCAUGUACCGUAACGAAUAAGCAUCGGCUAACUCCGUGCCAGCAGCCGCGGUAAUACGGAGGAUGCGAGCGUUAUUCGGAUUUAUUGGGUUUAAAGGGAGCGUAGACGGGUUUUUAAGUCAGCUGUGAAAGUUUGGGGCUCAACCUUAAAAUUGCAGUUGAAACUGGAGACCUUGAGUACGGUUGAGGCAGGCGGAAUUCGUGGUGUAGCGGUGAAAUGCUUAGAUAUCACGAAGAACCCCGAUUGCGAAGGCAGCCUGCUAAGCCGCCACUGACGUUGAGGCUCGAAAGUGCGGGUAUCAAACAGG
Molecule: ribosomal RNA, 762 nt
Filed under: uncultured bacterium
Lineage: Bacteria
Description: bacterial SSU rRNA
Rfam family: Bacterial small subunit ribosomal RNA
Source: RNAcentral